RNAcentral lists this ribosomal RNA (494 nucleotides) under uncultured bacterium. RNAcentral describes it as "partial 16S ribosomal RNA". It matches the Rfam family "Bacterial small subunit ribosomal RNA", at positions 28 to 523 of the family's 1533-position model. The record is from RNAcentral.
GAUGAACGCUGGCGGCGUGCUUAACACAUGCAAGUCGAACGGGAAACAUUUUAUUGAAGCUUCGGCGGAUUUAGCUUGUUUCUAGUGGCGGACGGGUGAGUAACGCGUGGGUAACCUACCUUAUACCGGGGGAAACCAGCCAGAAAUGGCUGCUAAUACCGCAUACGCGCACGGAGCCGCAUGGCUCUGUGUGGAAAACUACGGUGGGAUAAGAUGGACCCGCGUUGGAUUAGCUAGUUGGCAGGGCAGCGUCCUACCAAGGCGACGAUUCAUAGCCGGCCUGAGAGGGUGAACGGCCACAUUGGGACUGAGACACGGCCCAGACUCCUACGGGAGGCAGCAGUGGGGAAUAUUGCUCAAUGGGGGAAACCCUGAUGCAGCGACGCCGCGUGAAGGAAGAAGUAUCUCGGUAUGUAAACUUCUAUCAGCAGGGAAGAUAAUGACGGUACCUGACGAAGAAGCCCCGGCUAACUACGUGCCAGCCGCCGCCGUAA